AAAAAUGGCUUUCUAUGACUUAUCUGCAAUCAGAUACAGGAUGGAGUUCAAAGACAAAUCACAGUGAGAAAAUACAAUGUGAUCCAACUCUAUGCUUAUAUCCAGUUGCCCUAAUACAAUGCAUUCCAACCCUAUGCUCUAUCUGCUGCUUAUAGAUGAACCAGUUAGUGCGUAGAAGUUAUCUCGUAUCUUGAAAUGCAUAAAUACAUAAUUAUGAUCAUGACACCGCAACAAAAUUGUGCAUAAGCAAAAACAAAAAUAAAAACAAGCUACUUAUAGUAAAUGCAUCCGCUCUACAUAAGAUUGGAGCAACCACCUGCUAAGAGGCUCCCCACACCCAACGAAACACCCAGAAUUGCCAUUUUCAUUGACAAAGGGAAAGCUGAAAAUAUGCAGCAAUUCUUGCACAGCCUGCCGCACUAAAGAAGAUCCUGUCACCCUGCUUCUCCGGCCCCAUCCAGUCACUAUAUCAAUACGACUGGGACAAAUCCCUGAGACUAGCAUCUGACGACGAAACCAAGCAAGUGUCCUAGACAAUGCUGUCACAGCAGUACCAUCAGACAUAACAUGCAAGUUAAUAAGCCAAUAGCAAGAACUCUUCUCUUUGACAGCAUCAGGAUAUACAUUCUUCUGUGAAGCAGCCUCCCAAACUGAGCCAGCCUCCUCCUUGAGCCCUGACUUGUGAAGGAAAUCAACCACCGCAUCGAUGAGUCCCCUUUUGCUCUCUCUAUCUUCACUAUGCAUCAGAUCCAAGAACUUGCUCGCAUGAUCACGCACAUUUUGACCAUCAGGUCCAGCUGAUGGCAAAGAUAACAGGAACAAAUGUGCAGGAUGGCCCGUGACUGCCAUGAGUUCACAAUAAAUUCCCAUGUCGUGUGGUGAGUGUGCCUCUGUACAACAACUUAGAAGCAAUGUAUAAGUCUGCAAAGAAGGGUUUAAACCCAAAUUCAACAUGCUCUGCAGCAAGUUAUAAGCAUCUGCAAGCCUGUGCACACGUAAGAAUGCACUCAGAAGGGAAUUGCAAGUGGGCACAUUUGGGCGCAAGCCAGUAUGGAGCAUGGUCUGAUACCAUUCCCAAGCCUUUUCAACAUUCCCAGCCUUUCCCCACAAGUCUACCAGAAGGCCAUAGACAGGCUCAUCAGGCACCCAAUUCUUUCUUUUCAUCUCAAAAAAAACUGCUUCUGCUUCAUGAAGAUGACCACAAUGUCCAAGAACCUCCAUAACUAUACUAUAAGUUACUUUGUCAGGUUCAAAUCCAGCAUUCUGCAUGUCACGGUAAAGCUUCAAUGCACUCCGGUAAUUCCUUGACUUGGCUUGCAAAGCAACCAUGAUAUUGUAGGUGACUAAAUUUGGAACACAUCCUUGUUCCACCAUCUCACAGAAUAGCUUGUGGGCAGCAGCUAAAUGGCCAGCCUUUCCAAGGCAGUUUAUUAUAACGCUGUAAGUGAAUGUGUCCGGUGAAAGGCCAGCGACUUGCAUCCUUUGGUACAUCUCCAUGGAAAAAUCAAGAAACCCAGCUUUAGCAUGAAUAUCAAUGAGUGUGCAGUAUGUAACACGAUCAGGUUCACACCCUGCCUUCUGCAUUUGGUUAAAUACACCAACUGCUUCAUUCAGGUAGUUUGCACGACCAUAACUGUGAAUAAGACGAUUAUAAGUUACAACAUUAGGUUGGCAUCCAUCCUUGGCCAUCUGAUCAAGAAAAUUAUUAAUUGCACCAAACUGCUUUGCACGACCAAGGAUGCCAACCAUGGUUGUGUAAGUAUGGUCAUCAUGCUUGAACCCAGGUUGCUGUUUUAACCAAUAAAAAAAGCCAAGAGCAACUGUGUGAUCUUGAAGCUGCUUUAGAACUUGGUUUGCUUGAUAUGCAUCCAUUGAAAAAUUAAGAUUUCCAAGAGCCUUCUCUGCUGCAGGACCCCACCUCAGUUGUUUCAGUAUCUGACAAACAUUUUCCACAAUGCGUCCGCUGCUUGCAAACUGUCUGGUACUUGGCACCAUUACAGCUGUCAUUUUAGCAUCCCUCGAGAGUGUUCUGUAAUCUUCACAGAAGCGCUCCCCAAUCUUUGCAUCUGGAGCCUGUACAUGGGCAUUAAAAUUUGUCAUGAACCGAUUUGAUUGACCUUUCGGUCUCUGAGGUAUAUUCCUCCUUUUAUCACAUGAACCUGAAGCUAUGCUAUGAUUUUUCACUGAACUACCAGCAGUAGUACUUGAAACAGGUUUGGAACCUGCGAUAAAACUUGAUUUUUCACCUUUAUCCUUAAAACUGUUAUAGUUACUAAUAUCAGACUGGACUACUGCCUCUGAAGAUGGUUUUGGAUAAACUUUAGAAAAGUUCUCUCUCCUGAUGGGUUUCACAUUUGAAGAUUUUAGAGUGGAAUGUGGCCUGGUGGGGUCAACCAUGCAGUUUUUAGGUGAGUUAAUUCCACUUCCAUCAGAUAUAGGAAUUUUGUAGGUUACCAAAUCAGAUAGAAAACUAAUUGUUGCAAUGCCUGCUUUCACAAACUGGUCUGAAAUUGGAGGUGAAGGGUGUGCAACAUCUUUCUCAACUGUAUCAAUGCAGUUGGCAUAGCUAACACAAACUGAUCUCCCAGAAGAGCUAGGCGCAGACACAUCUUGGGACAAAGUUGGGUGCUCAAUACUAUCAACUUUAUGACGACCCAACAAUUUUCCAGCAUCUCCCAAAACAGAGGUUUCCACACUUCCUGAAGUUUUGGGUACUACGGCGGAUGCCUUCUGUACAGGUAGAACACUGCUUCUUGUUUGCUGCUUUCUUGGAAUACAGUUUUCAUCUUCAGAGCAAGUGCAUGAACUACCAUCUGCUGCACUAGACCGUGAUCCACCAAGAAAAAAUGACCUUGCAUUACUGGAAAGGUUACUAAGCUGCUUUGCUCGUAACAUGAUUCACAAAAACACCUGAGGUGAUAAAUAAGCUUCUCGACGAGCUUAGAUAGAGAAAAGAAAAGUAGAGAUUUUUCUAAUUAGGGAUGAGGCGGGGGAGGAAGAGGGAGACAGGCAGAGGCGGCUGUCCUCUCUCUAGCAUCAACUCUUGGGGUUUUUCUCCAAGCAAGUGGGGCUGGAGAAGGAGGGCGCAUCUUU
Molecule: unclassified non-coding RNA, 3093 nt
Filed under: Hevea brasiliensis (rubber tree)
Lineage: Eukaryota; Viridiplantae; Streptophyta; Magnoliopsida; Malpighiales; Euphorbiaceae
Source: RNAcentral